UGAGAAUAGUAGAGGACCAAGACCGCUGCCCUGAGGCACACCAGAACUUACAUGUAUCCAUUCUGAUCUAUUAUUAUUACUAGCAGUCACUGACUGUGAUCGAUUGCAAAGUAAUCAUCCACGGAACUGGUGGUCGGUUGAAAACGAUCACACGUUCUGGAUCAAUAGCAUCAAGUACGUCGUUGACAAAUGAGCUAAAGACAUCAAGCUUAGAAUUAAUGUCAAUCUGGGAUUCGGAGAGCUCCGUAUCAUAGUUGGAGAUGAAAUCAUCAACUGCAUCAGCAGAGAUAUUUUUAAUAGAUACUGUACGAUGUAGUCACGUUCGAGCAAUGCAUGAAAAUACUAUGAUUAUCUAUAAUACGGCGAUGAUCCCUGACCAAGCCACUCUUGAAUUAAUCGGAUUGUUCUACGUCCAAGUGCUUAUUAAGGAACCCAAGAAUAUAUAACCAUGCACUCAAUAUUGCUUCGACGAGAUACAUAUUUUAAUUUUAUAAAUUAGUGCUAAGAAUAAAGCAAAUAAAAAUUUAAAUAACCGCUAUCGAAAAAUAUAUUAUAAUAUAGAUAAUAAUAUCGACGUAAUAAUUACUCUAUCAAUUUAAAAUGUAGGAAAAAAAUUAAUACCAAACAGGGCAAAACAAAGCUUCUAAAGGAUUUUAUAAAUUAAAAUUGUGAUAGGCAAAAUAUGCCCCAAGAAUUUUUUUUUUUAAAUUUACUUAGUGGCAACAUCGACGUUAUACGGCAAUUCAGGUUAUCAAUAAUUUUUCAUAAAAAAUUAAAAAAUUUAAAAUAAGCUCUAAAAAUUUUCAUUUAAAUAAUUUGAUUAAAAUUUUUUACAAUUCAUGAUUGAAUAUAAAUAACAUAUUAAUGAGA
This is a long non-coding RNA of Microplitis mediator, 870 nucleotides long. RefSeq lists it as uncharacterized. Lineage: Eukaryota; Metazoa; Arthropoda; Insecta; Hymenoptera; Braconidae. The record is from RefSeq and is a predicted model, not a curated record. The transcript has 3 exons.